GUCCUCAGUGCAUCAAAUACCUGUCAUGAGGAACAAUAAGCUUACUAGUUGAUCUAAAUCCCCACUUCAGAUGAUACAAAUAUCCAGUUAACUGAUGAAAGAAAACUGAAUUAUCUAGAAUGUAUGCAAUAAUGUAUCAAAAUGGCAACAAUUCCUGUAAUUCCCAUGAUCACCACUCAAAUGAGCAAUUCUAGCCCAGAAAAUUACUAAAGCCAGCGUCUGUAUUGGCUCAGUGAUAUAUAAUGUUAUAAAUGAGAAUUAUGCCAUUCAAUUGCAAGGACAAGCACCCAAAACGAUGGGGGUAAAAAAGAUAAAUGGGUCUCUUAUAGUGUUGUGCUAGUGCCAUAGCUAAGCUGGAUUAAACUUGUCUCUAAAGGUAAGCACAAUAAUAGACACAGUUAACCACAAUAAUUCAUGGCACCAAAAUCUAGAUUUACAAAAUCUCAAAGGAUAAGAGUUUGUAUAUGCAGUGAAUUAGUUUUUGCAGUCAACAGUCAACCCCAAUCACUUACGAAAGUUGCUUCUCAAUUUUUCCUGAUUUUAUAAGUUUGUUGGCCUAACAGCAGACAACAGUAAGUGCCACAACAAAAUUGGAUAGAGAAAGAGCAAAAGAUAGAGGACCUGAUAUUCCUGAAAGUAGACA
Molecule: unclassified non-coding RNA, 643 nt
Filed under: Hevea brasiliensis (rubber tree)
Lineage: Eukaryota; Viridiplantae; Streptophyta; Magnoliopsida; Malpighiales; Euphorbiaceae
Source: RNAcentral